Molecule: non-coding RNA, 45 nt
Filed under: Trichobilharzia regenti
Lineage: Eukaryota; Metazoa; Platyhelminthes; Trematoda; Strigeidida; Schistosomatidae
Source: RNAcentral
AUCCAGAUGACGAGUCCAAAAUAGAACGAAACAUGCAUCGUAGAU